UACGGAGGGCGCGAGCGUUACCCGGAUUUACUGGGCGUAAAGGGCGUGUAGGCGGUUUGGGGCGUCCCACGUGAAAGGCCACGGCUCAACCGUGGAGGAGCGUGGGAUACGCUCAAGCUAGAGGGUGGGAGAGGGUGGUGGAAUUCCCGGAGUAGCGGUGAAAUGCGCAGAUACCGGGAGGAACGCCGAUGGCGAAGGCAGCCACCUGGCCCAUUUCUGACGCUGAGGCGCGAAAGCGUGGGGAGCAAACCGGAUUAGAUACCCGGGUAGUCCACGCCCUAAACGAUGCGCGCUAGGUCUUUGGGGUUUACCUGAGGGCCGAAGCCAACGCGUUAAGCGCGCCGCCUGGGGAGUACGGCCGCAAGGCUGAAACUCAAAGGAAUUGACGGGGGCCCGCACAAGCGGUGGAUUAUGUGGUUUAAUUCGAAGCAACGCGCAGAACCUUACCUGGGCUUGAAAUCCCGAGAAGAUCGGCCAAAACUGAUUGUGCUCUUCGGAGAACUCGGUGACAGGCGCUGCAUGGCUGUUGUCAGCUCGUGUCGUGAGAUGUUGGGUUAAGUCUCGCAACGAGCGCAACCCCUAUCCUUAGUUGCCAGCAUUAAGUUGGGCACUCUAGGGAGACUGCCUGGGUUAACCAGGAGGAAGGUGGGGAUGACGUCAAGUCCUCAUGGCCCUUAUGCCCAGGGCUACACACGUAAUACAAUGGUGCAUUCAAGGGGACGCGACCCCGCGAGGGUGAGCAAAUCUCAAAAAGUGCAUCUCAGUCCGGAUUGGAGUCUGCAACUCGACUCCAUGAAGUUGGAAUCGCUAGCAAUCGCGGAUCAGCACGCCGCGUGAAUACGUUCCCGGGCC
This 852-nucleotide ribosomal RNA is filed under the name uncultured bacterium. RNAcentral describes it as "bacterial SSU rRNA". It matches the Rfam family "Bacterial small subunit ribosomal RNA", at positions 524 to 1380 of the family's 1533-position model. The record is from RNAcentral.